RNAcentral lists this ribosomal RNA (905 nucleotides) under Staphylococcus sp. RNAcentral's name for it is "bacterial SSU rRNA". It matches the Rfam family "Bacterial small subunit ribosomal RNA", at positions 59 to 945 of the family's 1533-position model. Lineage: Bacteria; Bacillati; Bacillota; Bacilli; Caryophanales; Staphylococcaceae. The record is from RNAcentral.
CAGUCGAGCGAACGGAUAAGGAGCUUGCUCCUUUGAAGUUAGCGGCGGACGGGUGAGUAACACGUGGGUAACCUACCUAUAAGACUGGAAUAACUUCGGGAAACCGGAGCUAAUGCCGGAUAACAUAUAGAACCGCAUGGUUCUAUAGUGAAAGAUGGUUUUGCUAUCACUUAUAGAUGGACCCGCGCCGUAUUAGCUAGUUGGUAAGGUAAUGGCUUACCAAGGCGACGAUACGUAGCCGACCUGAGAGGGUGAUCGGCCACACUGGAACUGAGACACGGUCCAGACUCCUACGGGAGGCAGCAGUAGGGAAUCUUCCGCAAUGGGCGAAAGCCUGACGGAGCAACGCCGCGUGAGUGAUGAAGGUUUUCGGAUCGUAAAACUCUGUUAUUAGGGAAGAACAAAUGCGUAAGUAACUGUGCGCAUCUUGACGGUACCUAAUCAGAAAGCCACGGCUAACUACGUGCCAGCAGCCGCGGUAAUACGUAGGUGGCAAGCGUUAUCCGGAAUUAUUGGGCGUAAAGCGCGCGUAGGCGGUUUCUUAAGUCUGAUGUGAAAGCCCACGGCUCAACCGUGGAGGGUCAUUGGAAACUGGGAAACUUGAGUGCAGAAGAGGAAAGUGGAAUUCCAUGUGUAGCGGUGAAAUGCGCAGAGAUAUGGAGGAACACCAGUGGCGAAGGCGACUUUCUGGUCUGUAACUGACGCUGAUGUGCGAAAGCGUGNGGAUCAAACAGGAUUAGAUACCCUGGUAGUCCACGCCGUANACGAUGAGUGCUAAGUGUUAGGGGGUUUCCGCCCCUUAGUGCUGCAGCUAACGCAUUAAGCACUCCGCCUGGGGAGUACGACCGCAAGGUUGAAACUCAAAGGAAUUGACGGGGACCCGCACAAGCGGUGGAGCAUGUGGU